Molecule: ribosomal RNA, 253 nt
Filed under: uncultured bacterium
Lineage: Bacteria
Description: partial 16S ribosomal RNA
Rfam family: Bacterial small subunit ribosomal RNA
Source: RNAcentral
UACGGGGGGAGCAAGCGUUGUUCGGAUUUACUGGGCGUAAAGGGCGCGUAGGCGGCGUGACAAGUCACUUGUGAAAUCUCCGGGCUUAACUCGGAACGGUCAAGUGAUACUGUCGUGCUAGAGUGCGGAAGGGGCAACUGGAAUUCUUGGUGUAGCGGUGAAAUGCGUAGAUAUCAGGAAGAACAUCGGUGGCGAAGGCGGCUCUCUGGGACGGUACUGACGCUGAGACGCGAAAGCGUGGGGAGCGAACAGG